GGCCAGCAGCCGCGGUAACACGUAAGGGGCGAGCGUUGUUCGGAAUUAUUGGGCGUAAAGGGCGUGUAGGCGGUUACGUAAGCCUGAUGUAAAAGGCACUGGCUCAACCAGUGAGUUGCGUUGGGUACUGCGUAGCUAGAGUUCAGGAUAGGGAACUGGAAUUCCAGGUGUAGGGGUGAAAUCUGUAGAUAUCUGGAAGAACGCCAAAGACGAAGGUAAGUUCCUGGCCAUGGACUGACGCUGAGGCGCGAAAGCGUGGGGAGCGAACAGGAUUAGAUACCCUGGUAGUCCACGCUGUAAACGAUGUGCACUAGGCGUAGGGCGCUUUUUAGUGUUCUGUGCCGUAGCUAACGUGAUAAGUGCACCGCCUGGGGAGUAUGCUCGCAAGGGUGAAACUCAAAGGAAUUGACGGGGGCCCGCACA
This 423-nucleotide ribosomal RNA is filed under the name uncultured bacterium. Its description in RNAcentral is "bacterial SSU rRNA". It matches the Rfam family "Bacterial small subunit ribosomal RNA", at positions 506 to 927 of the family's 1533-position model. The record is from RNAcentral.